Molecule: transfer RNA, 93 nt
Filed under: Colletotrichum lupini
Lineage: Eukaryota; Fungi; Ascomycota; Sordariomycetes; Glomerellales; Glomerellaceae
Description: tRNA-Trp
Rfam family: tRNA
About the family: Transfer RNA (tRNA) molecules are approximately 80 nucleotides in length.
Source: RNAcentral
GGCCCUCUGGCGCAACGGUAGCGCGUUCGACUCCAGAUCGAGACUCAUCGAGAUGCUAUCGAAAGGUUAUCUGUUCAAAUCAGGUGGGGGUCA